This 210-nucleotide long non-coding RNA is filed under the name Capsicum annuum. RNAcentral's name for it is "long non-coding RNA (CANN_LNC009435)". Lineage: Eukaryota; Viridiplantae; Streptophyta; Magnoliopsida; Solanales; Solanaceae. The record is from RNAcentral.
CCCCUCGUUUUUCUCAAACUUUAUUUUUAUUUUUUCUCUCAUUUUUUUUCUCAAUUUUUUUAAUUCUUCGCUUUUUUCUUAAUCAUUAUAUUUUUCUUGCCUUUUUUAUUCUCACUCUUUUUUUUAUUUCUCUAUUUUUUUUAUCGCUUUUUUCUUGAUCUUUAUUUCUUUUUCCCUUUUUUUCUCAAUUUUUUUAUAUCUCUAUUUUGU